This 73-nucleotide transfer RNA is filed under the name Oryctes borbonicus. It matches the Rfam family "tRNA". From Rfam's summary of the family: Transfer RNA (tRNA) molecules are approximately 80 nucleotides in length. The record is from Rfam by way of RNAcentral. Lineage: Eukaryota; Metazoa; Arthropoda; Insecta; Coleoptera; Scarabaeidae.
GUCCCUGUGGUGUAGUGGUUAGCACGUUCGUCUAGCACACGGGAAAUAUCAGGUUCAAUUCCUUAUCGGGAAA